GAUGAACGCUGGCGGCGUGCCUAAUACAUGCAAGUCGAGCGAACAGAUGAGGAGCUUGCUCCUCUGACGUUAGCGGCGGACGGGUGAGUAACACGUGGAUAACCUACCUAUAAGACUGGGAUAACUUCGGGAAACCGGAGCUAAUACCGGAUAAUAUAUUGAACCGCAUGGUUCAAUAGUGAAAGACGGUUUUGCUGUCACUUAUAGAUGGGUCCGCGCCGCAUUAGCUAGUUGGUAAGGUAACGGCUUACCAAGGCAACGAUGCGUAGCCGACCUGAGAGGGUGGUCGGCCACACUGGAACUGAGACACGGUCCAGACUCCUACGGGAGGCAGCAGUAGGGAAUCUUCCGCAAAGGGCGAAAGCCUGACGGAGCAACGCCGCGUGAGUGAUGAAGGUCUUCGGAUCGUAAAACUCUGUUAUUAGGGAAGAACAAAUGUGUAAGUAACUAUGCACGUCUUGACGGUACCUAAUCAGAAAGCCACGGCUAACUACGUG
This 497-nucleotide ribosomal RNA is filed under the name uncultured bacterium. Its description in RNAcentral is "partial 16S ribosomal RNA". It matches the Rfam family "Bacterial small subunit ribosomal RNA", at positions 28 to 507 of the family's 1533-position model. The record is from RNAcentral.